This 258-nucleotide ribosomal RNA is filed under the name uncultured bacterium. RNAcentral describes it as "partial 16S ribosomal RNA". It matches the Rfam family "Bacterial small subunit ribosomal RNA", at positions 524 to 777 of the family's 1533-position model. The record is from RNAcentral.
UACGUAGGGUGCAAGCGUUUAAUCGGAAUUACUGGGCGUAAAGCGUGCGCAGGCGGUGAUGUAAGACAGGUGUGAAAUCCCCGGGCUUAACCUGGGAACUGCAUUUGUGACUGCAUCGCUGGAGUGUGGCAGAGGGGGGUGGAAUUCCGCGUGUAGCAGUGAAAUGCGUAGAGAUGCGGAGGAACACCGAUGGCGAAGGCAGCCCCCCUGGGCUAACACUGACGCUCAGGCACGAAAAGCGUGGGGGAGCAAACAGGG